GGGGGCUUAGCUCAGCUGGCUAGAGCGUCUGCUUUGCACGCAGAAGGUCAUCGGUUCGACUCCGUUAGCCUCCACCA
RNAcentral lists this transfer RNA (77 nucleotides) under Microscillaceae bacterium. RNAcentral's name for it is "tRNA-Ala". It matches the Rfam family "tRNA". Rfam says of the family: Transfer RNA (tRNA) molecules are approximately 80 nucleotides in length. Their secondary structure includes four short double-helical elements and three loops (D, anti-codon, and T loops). Further hydrogen bonds mediate the characteristic L-shaped molecular structure. tRNAs have two regions of fundamental functional importance: the anti-codon, which is responsible for specific mRNA codon recognition, and the 3' end, to which the tRNAs corresponding amino acid is attached (by aminoacyl-tRNA synthetases). tRNAs cope with the degeneracy of the genetic code in two manners: having more than one tRNA (with a specific anti-codon) for a particular amino acid; and 'wobble' base-pairing, i.e. permitting non-standard base-pairing at the 3rd anti-codon position. Lineage: Bacteria; Pseudomonadati; Bacteroidota; Cytophagia; Cytophagales; Microscillaceae. The record is from RNAcentral.